CCAGUGUGCUGGAGGUGCGUCGGCAGAAAGUACAUCAGUAUGUAUGCUGGCUCCAAUAGAGAGAAGGCAGGAAAAGAUGUAACCUGUGAGGGUUGCCUUCAUAAUGCCAUGGACUAACACAACCCACAGCCGUUCUCUGGGAAUCCCAGGUAUUUGUAUUUGGUUUUUGGAAAUACAAAUUCAAGCCAGGCAGUGAUGGCGCAUGUCUUUAAUCCCAGCACUUGGGAGGCAGUGGCAGGCAGAUUUCUGAGUUCGAGGCCAGCCUGGUCUACAGAGUGAGUUCCAGGACAGCCAGGGCUACACAGAGAAACCCUGUCUCAAAAGCCCACACCCCCCUCCAAAAAAAAGAAAGAAAGAAAAAAGAAAUACAAAUUCAGGUUUCAAACUCUCAGGCCUCCUGUCUCAGCCUCACAGGAUACAAAGCAUGGGUGACUGGCCUGAUGAUGUUCUUUUUAAUAGUUAAACAUUUUACUACCAAAGGAAAACAGACUGUUAGCUGGGUCUGGCAGAACAUGCCUGUCAAUGGGGGGUGGCCGCAAGACCAAGAGUUCAAGGUCAUUCUCAGCUCUCAGGUACCCUGGGCUGCAUGGGAUGAUGGAUCUUGACUCAAGAAAAAGAAGAAAAAUGGCUUUUACAAAAAAGCAUGUUUUGGCCCCCCAAUAAACCAGUAUUGCCAGAAACUGCUCUGACUUCUAAGGUUUCAUGCCUGAGAAAGUUUUCAUGGGAAACAAUAAAGGUCACAAAACAACUUUCCUUCAGAUGUCCUGCCCUGUGCCGCAAUGUUUGCCAAGAACUGUUUCCCCGCCUCCUGGUUCCUCUCAUUGGCCCGUUGGUCUUUCCAUCACAGGUGACCUCCAGUAUCUUGGUCCCACAUAGCUCAGGGUGAAGAGCUGAGUAAUCCUGAACCUGGGGCUGCUGCCGGAACAACCUUUCACACAGUGCCCACUGCUCCCGGUUGCACAACAUGUUUGACUGCGAGAGAUAAACGCCAGGUUUACAUUUGACUCCAGUCACCUUCGGGGCCAGCAGCCGGAGCCUGUAAACAGCACCCACUCCUUUAGAAAGGCGCGACUUUCCCAAAGUCCUGCCUUCCGAGCGCUGCGCCAGGCUGGGAGGAGGUGGACAAGGAAGGGGAGUAUUCCAAAGAAAAAGGAGGCUACAAGCAAGCUCUCGACUCUGUUUAGGAAGAAAAGGAAGAGCCGAGCUGAAGCAUUGGCCCUGCGGGGGGUGGGGGUGGGGCUCAUUUUGUGAACUGGAAUUUAAGAACUAAAACUAGUCCCCCUAACGUGUUUCUGUUUACCCAUCAGAAAUCAAUCUCUGAUUGGAGCAGGUACUUUUUCCUCCGUAAAACAGGCCAAAGAGGAAACGGAACUGUCUUAGUACUAAAAUAAUCUGUAAUUUAAUUGAUGUUGCAUGUUAGGCUUAUUGAAGACACCACUAUGAGAAGAUUCUGUGCUUUGUUUUCUGACACUGAAAACUGCAGGGUGGGGGCGAGAAAAAUCCCCCCACGACUUCACACAGGUUAUAGGAGGAAAACUAAUAGUCGAGAAGGAGGGAUUUCAGUGGAUUCUUUCAAGAAUAAACAUGUCUUACUCAGA
RNAcentral lists this long non-coding RNA (1598 nucleotides) under Mus musculus (house mouse). Its description in RNAcentral is "predicted gene, 34894". Lineage: Eukaryota; Metazoa; Chordata; Mammalia; Rodentia; Muridae. The record is from RNAcentral.